GGGGAACUAGCUCAGUGGUAGAGCGUGUGCUUUGCAAAUGCAAGAAUGCACAAGGUCCUGGGAUCGAUCCCCAGGUUCUCCA
This 82-nucleotide transfer RNA is filed under the name Mycoemilia scoparia. It matches the Rfam family "tRNA". Rfam says of the family: Transfer RNA (tRNA) molecules are approximately 80 nucleotides in length. Their secondary structure includes four short double-helical elements and three loops (D, anti-codon, and T loops). Lineage: Eukaryota; Fungi; Kickxellomycota; Kickxellomycetes; Kickxellales; Kickxellaceae. The record is from Rfam by way of RNAcentral.